This 241-nucleotide unclassified non-coding RNA is filed under the name Carbonea sp. RNAcentral's name for it is "partial contains small subunit ribosomal RNA, internal transcribed spacer 1, and 5.8S ribosomal RNA". The stretch from base 1 to 46 matches the Rfam family "Eukaryotic small subunit ribosomal RNA", at positions 1786 to 1831 of the family's 1831-position model. Lineage: Eukaryota; Fungi; Ascomycota; Lecanoromycetes; Lecanorales; Lecanoraceae. The record is from RNAcentral.
AAGUCGUAACAAGGUUUCCGUAGGUGAACCUGCGGAAGGAUCAUUAAUGGGAGGGGUUUUCGGACCCCGGGGACUCCGGUCCCCCCCCCUUACCCUAUGCCUACCUACCUUCGUUGCCUUGACGGGCCCGAGGAAUACCCUUCUUGCACCCCCGUCAGUGGCCCCUCCAACUUCGUCCAUCAGCGUCGUCCGAGUAGUACUAUAAUCGUAAAAACUUUCAACAACGGAUCUCUUGGUUCUG